Molecule: ribosomal RNA, 243 nt
Filed under: uncultured bacterium
Lineage: Bacteria
Description: partial 16S ribosomal RNA
Rfam family: Bacterial small subunit ribosomal RNA
Source: RNAcentral
GUCCACGCCGUAAACGAUGGGUGCUAGAUGUGGGGGCCAGUUCACGGCUUCCGUGUCGAAGCUAACGCGUUAAGCACCCCGCCUGGGGACUACGGCCGCAAGGCUAAAACUCAAAGGAAUUGACGGGGGCCCGCACAAGCGGCGGAGCAUGUGGCUUAAUUCGAAGCAACGCGAAGAACCUUACCUGGGCUUGACAUAUCGCUUACAUCCCUAGAGAUAGGGUGGGUUCGUCCGUGCGAUACA